GACGAACGCUGGCGGCGUGCUUAACACAUGCAAGUCGUACGGUAAGGCCCUUUCGGGGGUCCACGAGUGGCGAACGGGUGAGUAACACGUGAGUAACCUGCCCACAACUUUGGGAUGACGCUAGGAAACUGGUGCUAAUACUGGAUAUGUGCUCCUGCUGCAUGGUGGGGGUUGGAAAGCUCCGGCGGUUGUGGAUGGACUCGCGGCCUAUCAGCUUGUUGGUGGGGUAGUGGCCUACCAAGGCGGCGACGGGUAGCCGGCCUGAGAGGGUGACCGGCCACAUUGGGACUGAGAUACGGCCCAGACUCCUACGGGAGGCAGCAGUGGGGAAUAUUGCACAAUGGGCGCAAGCCUGAUGCAGCAACGCCGCGUGCGGGAUGACGGCCUUCGGGUUGGAAACCGCUUUCAGCAGGGACGAAGCUUUUUGUGACGGUACCUGCAGAAGAAGCACCGGCUAACUACGUG
Molecule: ribosomal RNA, 465 nt
Filed under: uncultured bacterium
Lineage: Bacteria
Description: partial 16S ribosomal RNA
Rfam family: Bacterial small subunit ribosomal RNA
Source: RNAcentral